CUGUGAUUGUGUUGCCAUGUAAAAUGUACACCUUAUCACUUUUCUCUGGUCAUGAUAAAAGACAAACUUAAAAGCUACUACCUUGGUAAUAUGCAAUAAAUAACUGUGGAAUGAAUUAUGCACAAAUAAUUACAUAGCUGAUGCCAAUACAGUAUACCUUGUGUCUCUACAGAUUUCUGGAAACUCCUCUCAAUAAUGAGCCUGAACCAGAUUGUUCUGAUCUUCCCUUUAUCUGGGUGCAUGCCUCAAGCCAGUAGGGAAGGUUCCCGGCAAGUUAGAUGCUCCCAUCUCUACUUAGUGGCUACCAAGAGGCUUAUCCCAAGAAAAGCUGGGAAAGUCCAUCUUAGGAACCUUGUCACUGAUUUUUGUUUCCCAAGAAUCAUUGGUAAAGAACAUCCCACCUCACACCACAACCUAGCUAAUGACUAGCAGAAUGACUAGUGUCCAUCCCUCAGCCCUGGGGACUACUCUGAUGCGGCAGAGGCUGCAGAAACCCUGCUGACCAGGCAUGGAAGCCCAUUCCCUUCACCCAACAAUGCUGGCACAAUUCACCCAAGCUGUGAAGUGAUCCCUGUCUCAGAUAAGUGAACUAAAAACAUUAAUUUAAAAAAGAGAAAGAGGUCAUUUCAUUAUUUCUGGAGGCAAGCUCAAACUGAAGGAGUAAAGAGUCCUAGAAUCAAAUUUCUAUUUCUUUAAUCAGAACAUCCUCCCGCUACUAUGGCUAACUUUAUUUCCAUGUGUUUGUUUAUUUGUCAUUUUUCCAUGUGUUUAUUUGUCACUUUUCGAUGUGUUUGUCUAUUUGUCAUUUUUCCAGAAGUACUUGAGGUAAUAUAACCUCUCUGAGAUCCAGUGAUGUGAAGGCAGAGGAAAAAAAGAAAGAAAAAAAUUAAACAAAAAAAAAAUUGAACUUUUUCAUGAUGUGUCAAGAGAAAGCAGAUAUACCCACCCUCUGCCUAAUCAUUGUGGUGAAGUUUUUGGAAUUUAAUGGUGGAGGUUGCAAUAGAAAGGAUGAAAUGUAUUUCAUUAUCAAAAAACUCUGGGAAAAUAAUUUUUCAGCAAUGUGAGUACUCUCUCUGUGUAACUACCACAGUGGGCAGAAGUUGGUCAUUCUGUACCUGGUUAGAACUAUUUCCUGUUAGUCUCCCUUCAUUUAAAGGAUAUAAAAUCUGCUUCUGUGUCAGAUACAGAGUACCUGUGAAUAUAAAAGCAACAGAAUAGUUUUCGUCUUACAUCUCCGCUUAUAAAUAAUGAGGUUUGUUUUGAAUUUUAUUUUUCUUCUUUGUAGUUAAGAGCAGAUGCUGAAAACUGACUGCAUUUGUUGGGGUUGCUCAGCAAGAAAGUGGGGGGCAGUGAGUGACUCACCAAAACUGAGGGAUAGAGAAAGGACAAUAGAAUAACAACAGAGAAAAAGACGAAGACAGCAAGGAGCUUCCUACUGCAUGUCGUCUUGUUGAAAGGCAAUGGUCUGCCUCUUGCUACCAACCCCAGCAGGGUGAGAACUUCUCCUGCUCUGUCCCGGUAGGCAGUGUGUAUACAUGUGACUUUGCAUCAGCUCAUCGGAUGCCCCAAACCAGAUCUUUGUCUCUGAAGUGAAGAUUACAAAGAAUGAAAAACAGCAAGAAUUCUUUCAAGGCUGCAGAGGAGACUAUGUCCUAAAGCCUCAGAAGACCUGGUCUGUUUCUGCUAAAAAAAAAAAUACACGUUGUGCUUCUGGCUUUUUGGCUGUAAGAAUCUAUCUUGAUGCCAGGCCUGGUUCUCAGCUGCUCAUUGCCUCUGUGACCCUACAUACCUUUCUAAUAAUUCAUAACUUUUGCUUAAGCAAAUUAGAGUAAGUUUCCAUUUUUUGUAACCAAUUGCAUUGUAAAAGAUGCAAAUAUUGAGAAGAGACUCAGUCUCAGUCCUGCCAUUCAAGAUCUUCUCUCCCCAAAAUAAAUUCUGAAAGUUAUCAAAUUGGCAGUUUUAUGUAAUAGGAGUUACAGCAUUAGAUAAUAAUAAUUCCUCUGCCUCAAAACAAGUUGUCCCAAAGUAAUAAAAUGUACUAAGUUCUGUGAUCUUGAAAUUAGGAGGAAGUAAAAACUUGUUCCUUCUUAUAUCUGGAACCUAGAACUCUAAUAUUUAUUUGUUUUAAAAAGGUCACUAUCAUAAAUGUUCUCAAUAAAAAUAUUAAAUGA
Non-coding RNA from Macaca mulatta (Rhesus monkey), 2171 nucleotides. The record is from RefSeq and is a predicted model, not a curated record. NCBI's taxonomy places the organism in Eukaryota, Metazoa, Chordata, Mammalia, Primates, Cercopithecidae.